CAGUCGCCGCGGUAAAACGAAGGGGGCUAGCGUUGUUCGGAUUUACUGGGCGUAAAGCGCACGCAGGCGGACUUUUAAGUCAGGGGUGAAAUCCCGGGGCUCAACCCCGGAACUGCCUUUGAUACUGGAAGUCUUGAGUAUGGUAGAGGUGAGUGGAAUUCCGAGUGUAGAGGCGAAAUUCGUAGAUAUUCGGAGGAACACCAGUGGCGAAGGCGGCUCACUGGACCAUUACUGACGCUGAGGUGCGAAAGCGUGGGGAGCAAACAGGAUUAGAUACCCCCGUAGUCCCUGUCUCUUAUAC
RNAcentral lists this ribosomal RNA (301 nucleotides) under uncultured bacterium. RNAcentral describes it as "partial 16S ribosomal RNA". It matches the Rfam family "Bacterial small subunit ribosomal RNA", at positions 509 to 807 of the family's 1533-position model. The record is from RNAcentral.